GGCACCAAACCACAGUACCACACGCUCUCCAUCUCAGCACAAAACAGAAUUCUAAUCACUCAAUCAAAAUCAGAUCAGCAUAAAGUCUCCACUGGACCCACAUAUAUUCCAUUCUUGUUCGUACCGUAUUCCUUUUCCUGUACGGUACUUGAUUCCAAAUACAGAUUUAACUCUGAUAAUAUUUUACGUGUUUGCUUGACUGGUUAAAUUGUAUGCGCUCUCCUCGUUUCACCUUCUCUUCUGCCCUGGGUCACCCCCAAUGUCCUGGGAAAAUCUUGCUCCCUUCCAAAUCUCAGUCCGAUUCAUAGGAAUUAAAAUUACAUUCAACAAUUGUGUUGGACACGACCAAGUUUGAAGUGAAGAGUUUCAAGUGGAAAAUAUAUAUUAAUAAAUAUUCUUGCAUGGAUGGAGAGUACAUCAAAUUGGAGUGAAUUCCAAAUUUUAACAAUGACUCGGAGCUGUCGAGAAUUCCUUGAUCUGGAAAUUCGCAUUGGAUUUUCUGGAAAGAGAAACUACUUGAGUUUUCGGCCAGAGUCACUCAAGUGGUCCGUACAAUCAGCCUGCAGGGUUUCCUGUCAAGUACCUGUGCUUCGCAUUACCAAACUCCACAUUUGUCUUUAUUCGCAUGAAAGAAGAACUUGUGCUGGAUGAUCUGUAAAAACGAUUCCCUUAACCUAUUUUAACAAUGAAAGAGAGUGGAUAGCAUUGGCAUAUGCACAUAAGUAUGCAUAUCAAGUUAAGUAUUGUUAAUAAUAGGAUCCCUGUGCGCCAUGAUUAUUUAUUCGAUGGGACACGUCAUAACAUAAUUUGCUGAUUGCCAACAUUACUAGGAAAGAAUUUCAUAAGGCAAAUAGUUGGCAAUGAUUGUACUACGUAAUUAUUUUUAUACCAGGGGUGUUAUGAAGCUUAUGCAUUUAUACAUUAUAUAUUUAGGUACGUACAGUGAUGCACAUUAACCGCAUCACUUUCGACCUAACGAUAAUCAGCAUGAAAGUGUUGCACAAUCCUUUUGUGUGAGCACAAUGAAAUACGAUGCAUAAAAAAGUGUUGAACGGUUUAGCUGAGCACAAUACCCUCAUCAUCGCCUCUCGUUUUUAAUGCACUAAUAGUUCAUCCUUUUCUCCUCGUAACUUCCUAGAAACUUUUGUGCUGGGAUCGGCUGCCAAGGAUGAGAAUAGCAGAGGCCCAAAUGAUAUGAAAAACUCAAGUGGCUAGCUCUUGCUUAGCUACAAAGCAGCAGGACAAGGAAUAAAGAGGAGAACAAACUCACGAGACGAAACCAAGUAAAAAGAAUUGAAAUCGCCGAGAACUCAGAAACCGGUGACGAAGCCACUUGUGAUCCUUCCUCCAUCCCACUCAUCCCCGUAUUUGCUCAAGAAUCAGGAGGAAUUCUCCUAGAAACUGUUUUACAAUUCAGAUGCCUUAUUUCAACACGAGUAGGAGGGGAUUUAUAUACAAAAUAAAAGUUACAGUUUCUCAAUGAGCUCAAAGUUUCAGGCAGAACUCAAAGUCUUAACUCUUGAAGUUGGUCCUUCUCAAAGAUAAAAGAAAGAGGAAAUGAAACGAAAUAAAGCCAAAGAAAAGGGAGAUAAUGGGAAGAAGAAAGGAAAAACGAACAAGACUCCACUACGAUACAUUCAUAGUUCAUGAAAUGGUAUUGAAACUCGCUCAGCCUCAAUGACAACGUAAAUCUGAACCUGGAAAUUAUUGAAUUGGAAGAGCCAAAAGGAUAGCGUGUGUAUACGAAGAAUAGCAGAGUUUCUGAAAGCAAAGCUGUUCGAAGGACGCGAACGACGAUCCACUUGAAACUUUCCCCUUCUCUCUCUCCCAUCAUCCACGGCUGCCUACUCUCCGAUGCUUCAACCAACGAUCGUUCCUUAUCAUCACUGAAUUACAACCUUCCUCUUGUACUCGUCGUCGGCAAAAAAGCUGGAAACGUUACUUGCUUAUCUUGUAGCAUUAUCAAAUUGUAAACAAUGGUCAAGUUUCUAAGGUGGCUGGUAAUUCGAUAUGUAACGUAGCGUAAUUCAUGAUGGGUAAAUUAAGAUAUUUUCAAACCAACGGAUAAAUAAGUAUUUAGUGUCCGACCCCACUGAAAAAAUUAAUAUAGCCCAAUUUUGUAGAUCUAAUUGAUGGGACAGCGAAAGUAACAAAUACUACUUGAGAACUAUAGAAGACUCUUUUGCAGAAUAUUUUCGUCUCGAUUGUACUGCGUAUCUAUCGUUGAUCGUACAUAUUUAUAAAUGAACUUUAUUCGUUUCCUUCCUUAAAACGUAAACCUGUAUAUUUAAUUUAAUAUAUUUAAUGCAUGUCGCUUAAAACUUUAUGUUCUAAAAUGAAUUUUCAGUCGGGGGCAAACUAAACAAAAAUUCGGCUUGAUGUUUUGAAUAAAAUAUUUUAAGUAAGCACA
This is a long non-coding RNA of Folsomia candida, 2410 nucleotides long. RefSeq lists it as uncharacterized. The transcript is spliced from 5 exons. The record is from RefSeq and is a predicted model, not a curated record. Lineage: Eukaryota; Metazoa; Arthropoda; Collembola; Entomobryomorpha; Isotomidae.